ACACAUGCAAGUCGAACGGUAACAGGCCGCAAGGUGCUGACGAGUGGCGAACGGGUGAGUAAUGUAUCGGAACGUGCCCAGUCGUGGGGGAUAACGCAGCGAAAGCUGUGCUAAUACCGCAUACGAUCUAUGGAUGAAAGCGGGGGACCGUAAGGCCUCGCGCGAUUGGAGCGGCCGAUAUCAGAUUAGGUAGUUGGUGGGGUAAAGGCUCACCAAGCCAACGAUCUGUAGCUGGUCUGAGAGGACGACCAGCCACACUGGGACUGAGACACGGCCCAGACUCCUACGGGAGGCAGCAGUGGGAAUUUUGGACAAUGGGCGCAAGCCUGAUCCAGCAAUGCCGCGUGCGGGACGAAGGCCUUCGGGUUGUAAACUGCUUUUGUACGGAGCGAAAAGGCUCUCUCUAAUACAGGGAGUUCAUGACGGUACCGUAAGAAUAAGCACCGGCUAACUACGUG
This 458-nucleotide ribosomal RNA is filed under the name uncultured bacterium. Its description in RNAcentral is "bacterial SSU rRNA". It matches the Rfam family "Bacterial small subunit ribosomal RNA", at positions 51 to 507 of the family's 1533-position model. The record is from RNAcentral.